RNAcentral lists this ribosomal RNA (253 nucleotides) under uncultured bacterium. RNAcentral's name for it is "partial 16S ribosomal RNA". It matches the Rfam family "Bacterial small subunit ribosomal RNA", at positions 524 to 776 of the family's 1533-position model. The record is from RNAcentral.
UACGUAGGGUGCGAGCGUUGUUCGGAAUUACUGGGCGUAAAGGGCGCGUAGGCGGGUCUGUAAGUCGGGUGUGAAAGCCCCGGGCUCAACCUGGGAAUUGCAUUCGAGACUGCAUUGCUGGAGUACGGAAGAGGAAGGCGGAAUUCCCGGUGUAGCGGUGAAAUGCGUAGAUAUCUGGAGGAACACCGGUGGCGAAGGCGGCAUCCUGGACCGGUAUUGACGCUGAGGCGCGAAAGCCAGGGGAGCAAACGGG